UACGUAGGGUGCGAGCGUUGUCCGGAAUUAUUGGGCGUAAAGAGCUCGUAGGCGGUGUGUCACGUCGGCCGUGAAAACCUGCAGCUUAACUGUGGGCGUGCGGUCGGUACGGGCAUCACUGGAGUUCGGCAGGGGAGACUGGAAUUCCUGGUGUAGCGGUGAAAUGCGUAGAUAUCUGCAGGAACACCCGUGGCGAAAGCGGCGCGCUGGACCACUACUGACGCUGAGGAACGAAAGCUAGGGGAGCAAACAGG
RNAcentral lists this ribosomal RNA (254 nucleotides) under uncultured bacterium. RNAcentral's name for it is "partial 16S ribosomal RNA". It matches the Rfam family "Bacterial small subunit ribosomal RNA", at positions 524 to 776 of the family's 1533-position model. The record is from RNAcentral.